Molecule: ribosomal RNA, 291 nt
Filed under: uncultured marine eukaryote
Lineage: Eukaryota
Description: partial 18S ribosomal RNA
Rfam family: Eukaryotic small subunit ribosomal RNA
Source: RNAcentral
UUAAAAAGCUCGUAGUUGGAUUUCUGUGGGGACGGAGCGGCCGGCCGCUACUAGCGGUUCGAGCUAGCGCUUUCCCUACAUCCUGCCGCGAACCGCGCUACCAUUAGUUCGGUGGCGCCGGGGUUCGGCUCGUUUACUUUGAGAAAAAUAGAGUGUUCAAAGCAGGCCACACGCCUUGAAUAAGUUAGCAUGGAAUAAUAACUAAGGACUUCGGUUCUAUUUUGUUGGUGUUCGGGACUGAAAGUAAUGAUUGAUAGGGACAGUUGGGGCGGUCCGUAUUCCAAAGCGAGA